This is a non-coding RNA of Chlorocebus sabaeus (green monkey), 1095 nucleotides long. The record is from RefSeq and is a predicted model, not a curated record. Lineage: Eukaryota; Metazoa; Chordata; Mammalia; Primates; Cercopithecidae.
CUGGCACAAAGACUCCCACCAGGCCAGCGGCCGUCCCGAGAGGAUGCAAUUCGGGGAGCCCGGGAUGCCCAGAUCCCCAGAUGGGGGAACAAAGAGAGGUUACGGCCAUGCGUUGCCCAAGGGCUUGCUGCAAGUGAGCCUUGAACCAGGACGUUGUGCUGCGAACACCGUCUCCCAAUGGCACAUUUCUCCCUCCAGCCCCCCAGCACAGCGCCAGCCUCGGUCCCCACCUCGUGCACACAUCGGAACAGCUCCCAGUGGAAAGCAGUUAGGUGGUUGGCAACGUCCUCAGGCUCCACUCGGUGGAUCUCCGUGUCUCCAGGGGAGACCUGGAUCUCCUCGGGGAGGGGCACCUGGUGGCAGGCAGGGGUAUAGGAACUGGGUUCCUGGUGGCAGGGUGAGGGAUUGCUCACAGCCCGCCUCAGCCCUCCAUUCCAGCCAAGGCCUUGGGAAGUUCUUACCAGAGCCUCAUAGCUGUCCCGAGUACAGGCAAACAGGUGGCUAUUGAUGCCCAGUGUGGUGAAAACACAGUCCUCAGUGGGCUGGAGAAGGACCUUCUCUGCAGGAGAAAGAGCUGCUCAUCCUCAGCCCCUGCUGCCUGGACCCUCACACACACCCCACACUUGGCUCUGUCCUAUCCAAAAACUCCUCACCCCACACCGACACAUUGUAGACUAUUGGAACUCAUACUAUCACCAGUUUAUGCCAUAUUUAUCUGGAAUUGGUCAAAUGAUGAUUUCUUUUACAUUUAUAACUUUUUCUACUCCCUUUCUUUCACAGCUUUUCUCUUACUCUGUUGUCCUUGUGACACUGGGAAGGCUGAAAUUUUUUUUACCGUAGAGGAAAACAAAGCUUCAGCGACAUUGCUGGCUUUCUGCCUUCCCACUCAUCCUGUGUCUUUAGCCUGAGAAAUGUGGCAUCCUUACAUACACCGGGAGGUUAAAGGACCAGAACACAAUCCAUAGGGCACUGAGCUUGUGAGUUUCUCCUCUCGGAGCAUCAGCCCAGUUCUUCCUGACCCUCACCUCCUGAGGAGGCCACAGCUACCAGGAUGAGAGAAUCCUCACGCCCCGCGGGCUCCUCUGAAUAUUGAAG